UACGUUUUGUAUGAUAUUUUCUGUAAGUC
RNAcentral lists this small RNA (29 nucleotides) under Bombyx mori (domestic silkworm). RNAcentral's name for it is "piRNA piR-bmo-1598640". The record is from RNAcentral. Lineage: Eukaryota; Metazoa; Arthropoda; Insecta; Lepidoptera; Bombycidae.